RNAcentral lists this ribosomal RNA (495 nucleotides) under uncultured bacterium. RNAcentral's name for it is "partial 16S ribosomal RNA". It matches the Rfam family "Bacterial small subunit ribosomal RNA", at positions 28 to 506 of the family's 1533-position model. The record is from RNAcentral.
GAUGAACGCUGGCGGCGUGCCUAAUACAUGCAAGUCGAGCGAACGGACGAGAAGCUUGCUUCUCUGAUGUUAGCGGCGGACGGGUGAGUAACACGUGGAUAACCUACCUAUAAGACUGGGAUAACUUCGGGAAACCGGAGCUAAUACCGGAUGAUAUUUUGAACCGCAUGGUUCAAAAGUGAAAGACGGUCUUGCUGUCACUUAUAGAUGGAUCCGCGCUGCAUUAGCUAGUUGGUAAGGUAACGGCUUACCAAGGCAACGAUGCAUAGCCGACCUGAGAGGGUGAUCGGCCACACUGGAACUGAGACACGGUCCAGACUCCUACGGGAGGCAGCAGUAGGGAAUCUUCCGCAAUGGGCGAAAGCCUGACGGAGCAACGCCGCGUGAGUGAUGAAGGUCUUCGGAUCGUAAAACUCUGUUAUUAGGGAAGAACAUAUGUGUAAGUAACUGUGCACAUCUUGACGGUACCUAUCAGAAAGCCACGGCUAACUACGU